RNAcentral lists this ribosomal RNA (238 nucleotides) under uncultured bacterium. RNAcentral's name for it is "partial 16S ribosomal RNA". It matches the Rfam family "Bacterial small subunit ribosomal RNA", at positions 524 to 760 of the family's 1533-position model. The record is from RNAcentral.
UACGAAGGGGGCUAGCGUUGCUCGGAAUCACUGGGCGUAAAGGGUGCGUAGGCGGGUCUUUAAGUCAGGGGUGAAAUCCUGGAGCUCAACUCCAGAACUGCCUUUGAUACUGAGGAUCUUGAGUUCGGGAGAGGUGAGUGGAACUGCGAGUGUAGAGGUGAAAUUCGUAGAUAUUCGCAAGAACACCAGUGGCGAAGGCGGACUCACUGGCCCGAUACUGACGCUGAGGCACGAAAGC